GACGAACGCUGGCGGCGUGCUUAACACAUGCAAGUCGUACGAGAGCGUAGAGAAAGCUUGCUUUUUCUACAAUCUAGUGGCAAACGGGUGAGUAACGCGUAAACAACCUGCCCUACGGAUGGGGACAACAGCUGGAAACGGCUGCUAAUACCGAAUACGUUCCGAAAGUCGCAUGACUAUCGGAAGAAAGGAUGGCCUCUAUUUAUAAGCUAUCGCCGGAGGAGGGGUUUGCGUCUGAUUAGCUAGUUGGAGGGGUAACGGCCCACCAAGGCGACGAUCAGUAGCCGGUCUGAGAGGAUGAACGGCCACAUUGGAACUGAGACACGGUCCAGACUCCUACGGGAGGCAGCAGUGGGGAAUCUUCCGCAAUGGGCGAAAGCCUGACGGAGCAACGCCGCGUGAGUGAAGACGGCCUUCGGGUUGUAAAGCUCUGUUAUACGGGACGAAUAAUCUUGUGGUUAAUACCCAUGAGAAGUGACGGUACCGGAAGAGAAAGCCACGGCUAACUACGUG
RNAcentral lists this ribosomal RNA (513 nucleotides) under uncultured bacterium. RNAcentral's name for it is "partial 16S ribosomal RNA". It matches the Rfam family "Bacterial small subunit ribosomal RNA", at positions 28 to 507 of the family's 1533-position model. The record is from RNAcentral.